UGGGGAAUUUUGUCCAAUGGGCGCAAGCCUGAGACAGCAACGCCGCGUGUGGGAUGAAGGCCCUCGGGUCGUAAACCACUGUCAGAGGGGAAGAACGGUGCCGUGGCCAAUACCCACGGUGAUUGACGGUACCCUCAAAGGAAGCACCGGCUAACUCCGUGCCAGCAGCCGCGGUAAUACGGAGGGUGCAAGCGUUGUUCGGAAUUACUGGGCGUAAAGCGCAUGUAGGCGGUUGGGUAAGUCGAAUGUGAAAGCCCAGGGCUCAACCCUGGAACUGCAUCCGAAACUGCCCAGCUAGAGUCCCGGAGAGGAAGGCAGAAUUCCCAGUGUAGGGGUGGAAUCCGUAGAUAUUGGGAGGAAUACCAGUGGCGAAGGCGGCCUUCUGGACGGUGACUGACGCUGAGAUGCGAAAGCGUGGGGAGCAAACAGGAUUAGAUACCCCCGUAGUCC
RNAcentral lists this ribosomal RNA (450 nucleotides) under uncultured prokaryote. Its description in RNAcentral is "bacterial SSU rRNA". It matches the Rfam family "Bacterial small subunit ribosomal RNA", at positions 355 to 796 of the family's 1533-position model. The record is from RNAcentral.